RNAcentral lists this ribosomal RNA (254 nucleotides) under uncultured bacterium. RNAcentral's name for it is "partial 16S ribosomal RNA". It matches the Rfam family "Bacterial small subunit ribosomal RNA", at positions 524 to 776 of the family's 1533-position model. The record is from RNAcentral.
UACAGAGGGUGCGAGCGUUGUUCGGAAUUAUUGGGCGUAAAGCGCUUGUAGGCGGCACGUCAAGUCGCGUGUGAAAUCCCCCAGGCUUAACCUGGGAAGUGCGCGCGAAACUGACGAGCUUGAGUGCCGGAGAGGGUCGCGGAAUUCCCGGUGUAGAGGUGAAAUUCGUAGAUAUCGGGAGGAACACCAGUGGCGAAGGCGGCGACCUGGACGGACACUGACGCUGAGACGCGAAAGCGUGGGGAGCAAACAGG